This 1953-nucleotide long non-coding RNA is filed under the name Spirodela polyrhiza (greater duckweed). RNAcentral describes it as "long non-coding RNA (SPOL_LNC001309)". Lineage: Eukaryota; Viridiplantae; Streptophyta; Magnoliopsida; Alismatales; Araceae. The record is from RNAcentral.
AUUGCCACAGAUUGACAUCCUUAAUUAUGUAGAAAUCAAGAAGACCUAGCAUUCUAGCUUCGUUUUUUUCUUGGAGCACCAAGCUUGUGAGCUUUUUUGUCGUCCCCUUGAUGAUUUUAGUUCCUCAAGGGAAUUCUUUUAAGGGCUUUCUGAAUCGUUAAUGCAACCUUACUUAGUUUUCUGGCAUGUACCACCUGCUGACGACCAUCUUUGUCAUGUGACUUCGUUAUUCUUCGUUUCCAUUAGCUGAUAGUGUUCGUCCUCUUUUGUCAGUGAAAUUUCCUUUUUUCAGUGUUGUACGUGAAGGAUCUCGGAUGGUAGGGUGACAGAUUUAGCUACUUGAGACAAAUCUUCCGACCUUUAGAAGAAACAUGUCCAUUGGUUCAAAGGCCCGGCGAACCGGGUUCUCUUAGCAUAGUAUUUCUGCAAAUCUUUGUUCUUAUUUUGGGCCUUCAGAUGAUGAAGCUUUCGUAAAUCCCAUCGAUCAUCCCAAAUGGUACCUGUGAUUUUUAUGUAUAGGUUGACCUCCAAGUCUUCUAAACGUUCCUCUUUGAUUUUGGAUGCCACGACGGUGUUAGCUUUCAUUCAUUUGGAUCGCUUCAUUAUUCGUUGAAUAGCAGUCAGAUCAAAAUUUUCCGCUUUAUUUGUACGAUGAUCAGCUUUAAGCGUUGACUUGUACCACUUUAUGUACCAUUCCUAAUUCAUGUUCUGGCCUUUGGAGUGCUCUCUCUCUCUCUCUCUCUCUCUCUCUCUCUCUCUCUCUCUCUCUCUCUCUUUGUGAGCCGAUAGGAUGGCAUACAACGGAUGGAAGUCGGCGAGCGCAGAUCCGUGAAGAAGACUUGAGGAACAUGAGUACCCAUCCGUGGCUAAUACAAUUUCCACAAGAAGCAAACCCCAACCGAGCAGAAAAACAAGUUCUAAUCACCAGAAGUAAAGAAGUCAACAAUCUCAGCAUGAUUGCCCCCGCCAGUGAAAGUCCAGGAAUAUGGUGAUCGGCGCCAUCACCGCAUCAGAAGACGGCGUCUAACAAGCAGCAACAACAUAGGGCGGCCAAACUGCACGUCAACGAGUAAUAGCCACGCCGUGAGAUGGGAGAGGUUCUUCACAAUCCAGGAAAGAUUUUGCGACAGAGAGACAAAGAGAGAGAGAGAGAGAGAGAGAGAGAGAGAGAGAGAGAGAGAGAGAGAGAGAGNNNNNNNNNNNNNNNNNNNNGAGAGAGAGAGAGAGAGAGAGAGAGAGAGAGAGAGAGAGAGAAAUCGUUACCAUCCUUCAAGGAAACCUGGGCCACUGUUUUUCUUCGGAGGCUGCUGUACAUACUGCGGUGGCGGGUAACCUCCCCCGGGGUAGCCCGCCGGCGGGUAACCCCCCGGCGGAGGGUACCCCUGGGCGUAGCCCUGCGGGGGAUAACCAGCCGGCGGGUAGGGGUCCUUGGGGUACGCCUCGGCAGGGUAUCCUGGUUUCACGUCAAGAUGAUGGGAGAAGAGAAAACAAGGGCCACCCGUCAGACACGAGGGGUGAAAGCCUGAAGAUGCCAAGCGGAGAUCAGGAGAAGUAGGACCAACCUUGCGGCGGAGGCACCCCGACGGGCGGCUGCUGCUGAUGGUAGUAGCUCAUGGCGCUCUUCGCGGGGGUACAGGGAGAAAGGAGGAAGGAGGCGACGAUCUCUAGACGAAGGCACGCGGAAAGCAGCUUCUAUACGGCUUUCACGGGUGCGGCUUCAAAGGAAGCUUCAUGGAUGCUGCCUGGUCGCUGAUCUUCGUCGCGUCAGAAGCGCGUGCGGUGGAGGUUGGGGGCCGUCAUCAAAUGGGAGAGAAUACGACAGAGACACGGUCUUAGAUCACUCCCAGCCUUCUACGACCGAUGAAAGUAGGAGAUAUGAGACCAGUGGAUCGAAGGCGGAACAAGGUUCUCGAUGUCAACGGUUCGAUAAGAAUGAUAUUAAACAGAUGGUGG